GGAAGCCGGUGGAAAUCCGGCGCGGUCGCGCCACUGUGACCGGCCUGUCCGCACGUCCGCGGAGGGGUCGCAAGCCAGAC
This 80-nucleotide unclassified non-coding RNA is filed under the name Frankia sp. AcoPraII.1. The record is from RNAcentral. Lineage: Bacteria; Bacillati; Actinomycetota; Actinomycetes; Frankiales; Frankiaceae.